RNAcentral lists this ribosomal RNA (254 nucleotides) under uncultured bacterium. RNAcentral's name for it is "partial 16S ribosomal RNA". It matches the Rfam family "Bacterial small subunit ribosomal RNA", at positions 524 to 776 of the family's 1533-position model. The record is from RNAcentral.
UACGAAGGGGGCUAGCGUUGUUCGGAAUUACUGGGCGUAAAGAGCUCGUAGGUGGUUUGUCGCGUUGUUCGUGAAAACUCACAGCUCAACUGUGGGCGUGCGGGCGAUACGGGCAGACUAGAGUACUGCAGGGGAGACUGGAAUUCCUGGUGUAGCGGUGGAAUGCGCAGAUAUCAGGAGGAACACCGGUGGCGAAGGCGGGUCUCUGGGCCGAUAACUGACGCUGAGGAGCGAAAGCGUGGGGAGCGAACAGG